RNAcentral lists this ribosomal RNA (253 nucleotides) under uncultured bacterium. RNAcentral describes it as "partial 16S ribosomal RNA". It matches the Rfam family "Bacterial small subunit ribosomal RNA", at positions 524 to 776 of the family's 1533-position model. The record is from RNAcentral.
UACGUAGGGGGCAAGCGUUGUCCGGAAUCAUUGGGCGUAAAGCGCGUGUAGGCGGCCAGAAAAGUCCGCUGUGAAAACUCGAGGCUCAACUUCGAGCUGUCGGUGGAAACUUUCUGGCUAGAGUCCGGAAGAGGAGAAUGGAAUUCCUGGUGUAGCGGUGAAAUGCGCAGAUAUCAGGAAGAACACCCGUGGCGAAGGCGGUUCUCUGGGACGGUACUGGCGCUGAGACGCGAAAGCGUGGGGAGCGAACAGG